Molecule: long non-coding RNA, 4268 nt
Organism: Strigops habroptila (Kakapo)
Lineage: Eukaryota; Metazoa; Chordata; Aves; Psittaciformes; Psittacidae
Exons: 3
Source: RefSeq, a predicted model, not a curated record
UUAGAGAGCAGCCUCCUUUUCUGCUAUAAGAGCACUGGGAAAAAACCUGAUGUGUUCUUAUUGCCAGUAUCAUGAGUUGAAAAUGGACAUGAAACACCUGAACAACUUUUCUGGGCAACAACAAAUGGUUUGAUUGUUCCCCCUUUUUUCUUGUUUCAUUCUCAGGUUCCUCUUCAUGCAGCAGGUAUUGGAAAUUAAACCAACCAUAUUCAGUGGUCACAGACUUCCCCAAGACCAAAAAGGGAAUGAGGGACUGCAAGAAUAAGGAGCAAGAGGGAGCAGAAUUUAUGAAAUAGUUGUGAAAUUGGCAAAGUGGGAAAAAAGGCUAUUACAUUAAUUACCGGAGUGAGCAGAUAUGAUUCAGGUGCACAGAAACUACUUACAAAACAGAGCAGCAUUCUUAAAGUUGAUUAGAGCAAAGUGGCAUUUGCUCAGAAAGGACGAAGAGUUCUUACCAUCAUACAAUUUUCAUUCAGCAUUAUGCAAAAAUACUGAUGGCUGCCUUCACAAAGUCAAGCUGUGAAACUAAACUCUGCCAUGCAGUACUUACUUGUACGAUCGUAGGAUUCAUGGCAAGUCCUUGCGAUUUCAGCACCGAGCUCAAUGUGAUGGCCUGUCUUGUCAUUGGGUGCUCCAUCUGCUCCUAGAGCAAACAUGCCUCCAGCAAAACAAGUGAGAUGUCCCAUCUUAUGUUCAAGCAGUCCACCCUUCCACUCAGCGAUGUAUGUCAGCCCCCCGCUUGAUUUUCGAAUAAGGAACCUUCUUCAUAAACAGUAUUUUGACAAUUAGAAGCAACAGUGAGUAUGAAACAGAAUUCUAUCACGUGAUAUUUCCAGUAAUUCAAAGAUGUAUAAUGUCAAUUGUUCAUUUAUUUUAGUGUUUAAGGCUUGCACCAAUACAUUUUAUUGCUUUGAAACUGCACACAGCAGGCGGGUCAGGAUUACUGUGGUUUUGCAUGCUGUUGAGUUUAUAAGUCAAUUGCCUGUUUUCUUGACUUUAAGUUACUUCCUUCAUGUUUUCUCUGUUGAUCUAAUGCAGUAGACACUUUUUUCAGCAAUGUUAAUAAUUCAUCAAAUUUAUACUUUUAUCCAAAAUUCCUAUGAGUUUAUUAUGCAUUUGCAUUACUGCAGCUCUUUUGGAGAUGGCAGAAAAACAUUGUGCUUUUUUUUUUUUUUUAAACCUUAUGAAUUGAUUUUGUUUUCUUAAAUAUUGUUCAUACAGGUUUUAAAUAUGUAUUCCAAGAUGUCUGAAUUAUGUGAAAGCAUACAGCCAGAAAACCUAGGAUUAAAUAGGAAGUUCAAGCCCCUGUUACAAUUUAUUUAAAUACUGCUGCUAAGGAAAAGAGGCGUCUUGUUAUCCCAAGGUCCUCUCUGCUUACUAACUUUAAAAAUCAAGCCUGAGAUUUGGACACAGAAGAGCUUUCAUUUGUUUAAAUACAGUAUAUAAGAAACAUUUUGAAAGCAAUACGGCGCUUUCUGAAGUCUUUUACUUCUUUUACAUUUUUUUACUGAAGAUGUGUUAUACAGAUAAGCUUACACAUGAAAUGAAAUAUGAAUGCUUAUAAUGGAGAUACCUAAAUUUUUGAAAUGGAAACACUGGCAAACAUCUACUACUGUGCUGUCUAUCCAUCUGAUCACUAAAAAGAUAAUUAAGUUUUAGGGGAAAACUGAUAAUUUACUUUUGUCUGAAAAUCUAAUUAUGUUUUGGGUUGGUUUUUUUUCCCUAUAUAGAUCAGCUAGUGUCCCUAAGAGCACCAGUGCUCUUACACUAAAUGUACUUAAUGCUGCUUUUGCUACCAGAAGGCUGCAUUUACUCAUGUUCUUAAAAUAGUAUUAAUGGAAUGGCAUGAAUCAAAGCAAGUCACUCUCAAAAUGUUGCAUUUUAUAUUUUCUGAAUAUUCUAGAAUAUGUAUCUAUUGCUCCUGACAAAUUCUUUUGCUGUCAAAAAAAGGAAAUGAAAAUAGCACAAGCAGUAAGGACAAGACUGCUGUGACAACAAUAGCAAAGCCAAGAGCAAAAAGGGGACAAUUUCUCUCACAGGACUCUUCUAGUUCAAAUUAUCCUUAAAGAGAUCUAACAAUUUCUGCUGCUUCUCCUGACAGCCCAUAAACAGGCAAACAUUUUAAUAAAUACUUUCUAUAGUCCAAAACAUAGGCAUUGUGCAGUUAUAAAUAUAUUAUUAACGAUUUAAAAAUCUGCAGAAGCCUGUCUUUAAUCUUGAUGCUUUCUGUAAGCAGUUGUGAAAAGCCUCAAAACUCCUCUGAAGAGGGGAAAUAUAGUAAAGAGAAUAAAAAGGAGCAGUGAAUCCUCUGGAUGUUCCCAUCUGCUAAAUGUAAUGAACUUUGUGUUCCUUCAUAAUACAGCUAUACUAUUGCUACAUGCAGAACACCAGUGCAGCUGGGUGAUAAAUACUUUAAACAUGACAGCUGACAAAAUAUGUAAAUAAACUGCCUGUUUAUUAAUUUUUACACACUGAAGUUAUAGACGAUACCUCUCCCCCUUGAAAAAAAAAAUGUACACAGUGGGAAUGCUGGGUUCCCUGUACCAAGUGUUUCAACCUGAAGAUGGGCUCCUAUUGCACCACCCUGCCUGCCCUAUAUAUAUAUUUCCUUCAAUGCCAAGAAGUGCUAAAGUACUGAAUGUUCUGUUCAUUAACAUACUUUUAGCUUUACCCAGUGUGACCAACUGUUCUAAUUGAGUUGUUGCAGUUCUGUCAUUGUCCACAUCAGUUAUGUACCUUUUAAGAUCACUACGAUCACAAAGCAAACAACUUCAAGCAACUUAAUGGAAACUGCAAUCAGCAGAGCAGCCACCAGGCUGUCACCACAGUUAAAUAGACACUCCUGAAACUCUGGAGAUGAAAAGAGCCUAUGUGCCAAUACCAUGUUUUCAAUUUGCUAACAACACUUUGUUGUCUCCCUCAUUUCAAUGAGAAAAGAGUCUACAUGGAUUUCUUUUAUUUAUCUGAAAGGCUGAAAUCUUGACAGGUCUGAAAAAUAUUCACUACUUAAUGCUGACAAAUAUACACCACACCCUUGCCCCCCAAACCAAAACCAUAUAGCUUCCUUUGGCAGAGUACAAACUGAGUAUAAUAAGGCUAGUCUCAAAGUUAGCAGUGUGCAAAAAAAAAAAAUUAUAAGUGAUGAUAUAAAUAUUAUAUAAAAAAUAUACAGUGAUCCUCUAUACUUUCUGUCUGAAUACUCAAAAUCCUGAGGCCAAAAAUGACUUUCUCGCCUUUUGAUACCCACAAAAGGUUACUGCAUUCCUUAAUCGCACAAUCCAGCCUAGCAGGAGCCUGACUUUCAGGAGUGCUGUCGGAAUCUGUCAGAGAACAGCCGUGGCACUGCUUCACAACAUCUAUUCUUCUUUUUGAUAUUUCUACCAUUCCUACUUCCACAUGCUAGGUUCUCCAGAGAUCACUACUCUUCUUGUUGCAAUCUUCUAAGCAGCUGUCACCCACGAUGAAAAAUUAAACUAUCUAAAUGUCUAAAAAUAAACUAUCCUGGCUUAAGAUAAAGCUGCGCCUCACAGCGGCUUUACCUCUCUGAUACCACAGGGAUGCACUGAACCAAGCUGCUUGGGAAGUGCUGGCGAGGGAUUCUCCCUCCUCCUGUGAAGUUCUUCUGGGCUGAGUAACUGCUCUCUUUACAGCCUUUAGAUAUGCCCCUUCUCUAGAAAUACACUGAGGAGGGGAUGAAAGCAGCAUCAGAGAGAAAGAAAGUAUUUAAGAUGCUUAAAGCUUGCAGCAAUGGCCAUAAAGAAAUAUAAUGGGAAAAUCUGGAAAAGAUACAUGAUCAUCAGACAUCAAGAGUGAGACAACCUAUUAACAAGAACAGCUGCAAAAUUGCCCUUCAACUUAGAAAAUGAGUUCUGACAUGCAAGAGGGGAGGAUUUGAUGCAGUUGCUUGUGACACUGCUGUUGCUAGACUAUAUGUAAGUGAACCCACAAGAUCCACUUUUUUUCUAAAUUAUCAUGCUCUCUUACUGAACCUACUCAAUUGCGUCUCAGAGAUCAACUGUGUUAACUGAAAAGAAUGGGAUGGCUCCUGUCCUGGAUAUUUGCAAAGACUGACAGAUUGCUCUGUGGGCAGUUACAUGCUCAAAAUACGAAUAAAAGCUGAAUACACAUUUGUUUUGUAACUAAAUGUUGCAUGCUACCCAUUGAACCCAAUUUAAGAAGAACUCUUCCUGUAUUAUAUGAAACAGGACAUUAUAUGCAUUGCUUUUCAAAAAAGCAAAAUAAGUUACAUUAAAAAUACAUUCACUUGU